AGUGAACGCUGGCGGUAGGCCUAACACAUGCAAGUCGAACGGCAGCACAGUAAGAGCUUGCUCUUACGGGUGGCGAGUGGCGGACGGGUGAGGAAUACAUCGGAAUCUACUUUUUCGUGGGGGAUAACGUAGGGAAACUUACGCUAAUACCGCAUACGACCUACGGGUGAAAGCAGGGGAUCUUCGGACCUUGCGCGAUUGAAUGAGCCGAUGUCGGAUUAGCUAGUUGGCGGGGUAAAGGCCCACCAAGGCGACGAUCCGUAGCUGGUCUGAGAGGAUGAUCAGCCACACUGGAACUGAGACACGGUCCAGACUCCUACGGGAGGCAGCAGUGGGGAAUAUUGGACAAUGGGCGCAAGCCUGAUCCAGCCAUACCGCGUGGGUGAAGAAGGCCUUCGGGUUGUAAAGCCCUUUUGUUGGGAAAGAAAAGCAGCAGGUUAAUACCCCACUGUUCUGACGGUACCCAAAGAAUAAACACCGGCUAACUUCGU
Molecule: ribosomal RNA, 491 nt
Filed under: uncultured bacterium
Lineage: Bacteria
Description: partial 16S ribosomal RNA
Rfam family: Bacterial small subunit ribosomal RNA
Source: RNAcentral